RNAcentral lists this ribosomal RNA (253 nucleotides) under uncultured bacterium. RNAcentral describes it as "partial 16S ribosomal RNA". It matches the Rfam family "Bacterial small subunit ribosomal RNA", at positions 524 to 776 of the family's 1533-position model. The record is from RNAcentral.
UACGGAGGGUGCAAGCGUUAUCCGGAUUCACUGGGAUUAAAGGGUGCGUAGGUGGGUUGGUAAGUCAGUGGUGAAAUCUCCAGGCUUAACUUGGAAACUGCCAUUGAUACUAUCAAUCUUGAAUACCGUGGAGGUCAGCGGAAUAUGUCAUGUAGCGGUGAAAUGCUUAGAUAUGACAUAGGACACCAAUUGCGAAGGCAGCUGGCUACACGAAUAUUGACACUGAUGCACGAAAGCGUGGGGAUCAAACAGG